Molecule: long non-coding RNA, 4993 nt
Filed under: Triticum aestivum (bread wheat)
Lineage: Eukaryota; Viridiplantae; Streptophyta; Magnoliopsida; Poales; Poaceae
Description: long non-coding RNA (TAES_LNC001382)
Rfam family: MIR1120/MIR1122 microRNA precursor family (bases 872-986)
Source: RNAcentral
AAAAGAAAAAAAUAUCACACACUCUCGUUCCCACCCUACUAAUGGUGGUCGUGGUGUCCACUUGAUCACAAACACAUCCGAACGUGGGCAAUCCAAAGACGAUGAACCCAUUCAUAAAAAUGUAAAGCUAAUUUGUAAUUCCAUAGAGAUGGCCCUUGUAGAAUCCAUACAAAACUCAAUCCAACCGACCAUUUUAUAAUGAUAUGUUCACAAACUUUGGUUGUGCUAUUACUGACCAUGUUUUGCUUCUAUUCUUUCAGGACAGAACGAUACAACAAAAUGUUUUAGAACGCAAGGGGUCAAAAUACUCUGAAUCAGAUUAUACACUCUGAAAUAUAAAUUCAGGCCAUAUACAUUCCGCUUUUGCAGCUAACCUACCAAGUAGUACACUUCUAGGACCAAAAAGUUGAAAGUGGAAUAUCACAACUUAAGUAUUGAACUAACCUCUACUUGAAAGCAUUGCACGCAUUUGUGAAUCCAAGCAUAGUUAUCUGGAGGAAAUAAUUCAGCAAAUACAAUAUGCGUAGAAAAUUCAGAGAUCUCAUGAGGGGUGAAUUGAUGCCCAAUAUAUUGAGAAACAAUACACAUGUUUCAGCAUGUAGUUCGAUUAACUGAAGCAAAUUAUCUACAAAGAAUAGAAAAGGAAAUGAGUACAUAAUCCGGGGACCAAAUUGGUAAACAAUACCACAAUCUUGAAAAGAAACAUCAACAUCAGUAAAUUUUAGAACACCACAACUACACUCUUGUGCCACUUGUGGUUGCACCCCAUGACAUGGCAAGAGAACCACAUAUAGUGGCGAGCAGUUGGCUUUGCUUGACUGAGCAGCGGCAAACAAAACUUGCAGAAUAUUUUGUAAGAAUUUUGGUAAUUUUACUACUCCCUCCGUCCGGAAAUACUUGUCAUCAAAAUGGAUGCAUCUACAACUAAAAUACAUCUAGAUACAUCCAUUUCAAUGACAAGUAUUUUCGGACGGAGGGAGUACAUAACAAUUCUCCUAAUUCCUAACAAAAAAAACAUUACCUCAACUGCAGGAUUUUUUUUGUCUAAAACCUAGACUUGCAAGAGAAACAUCCACAGUUCUACACAAACCAAUGCUGAUAUCAUUUGCAGAAUUUCCUGAGUUCGUUCUUGCUACUUCUUCACAAGGCAGCCAGUCAAUUUGACAAUUUUUUCAGUGCUCAAAUAUUGAAAUAUAUGUUCUUAUAGCGAGUAUGUUCAGAGGACCGUAGAGAAAAACAGGUUUGUAUUAAUUGACUUGUUAAUUGACUCUCUACAGCCCCUCACAAAUUAUACACAAACACAAUCGUCAAAAUCCGGAGCCGACCCUCAAGUAAGCUAGCUAGGUUCUGGGCUUAGUGCUGAAGUGCAUAGUACAGUGCUACAUCACAUUACAGGGAGACGAUGAUACGACAAUCUCAAGAAGAAAGGGAAGGGGGAAUAGCAAGGCUGUUUCUGAGGGUGGUCGAGGCAUCACAUACCUCUGGUGUAGCCACCGUUGGCAAUAUUGGAUGGCUCGACAAACGUUCUGCUACCUCCGGCGAACUCGGUGCUUCCCUAACUAUUUUUCUUGGUUGGCUUGCAUUGCUUGUCUAUACUGUUAGAUCAGCAAGUGACGAAGCUCUAACUGCCAGGAAGGCUAUCCUUCCCUCUGGAAUUCACAACCGAGAUAUAAAUUGUGUGACUGCAUAUUAUGUUAUGAAUAAAAGAGAAAACACAUGAUAUACAAUGUUACAAAAACCGUUUUGGACAAUUCUAACUUGUAGAUAGCUCAAUAUGAUUUUGCUUUGAAAUAAAACUUAAGCAUAAAUACCCAGAAAAAUUAAUGAACAAAGUAGCAGACUAAAAUAUUUACAAUAAGAAGGAUAUAUUUGAUCAUUAAUCCUGCUACAAAACAUAGAUUUUUUUUGUAGCAUCAGGCAAAGAUUCUUAAUGUGAGAAAUUUAAUCUACAGUAACGACCAGCCACUCAGUUCACACAAUUGUACAGUCAUUUUAUUUAGGGAAACAUAUGUGUGGAUACAAAAUAGAUAAAUAAAUGUGUUUAGAAACCUGGAAAAUAAUUAUCCAAACAAACCUAUUUUAUUAUUCUAAUGAUUCAAAAUGAAUGGCGUCAAAGAUACAACAUAUGCUCAUGUACAUCCAGCCACAUCGUCGACCACUAUUUAUUCACCUUGCAACUAAUGUUCAUAUCAACAAAAUGGUUCAUAUUUUCAGUUUCAGAUGAAGGAUAUGGAAGAGAAAAUGAUGCAUGUAACAAGCCUUUAGACGUUUCCGAAAACACAAAACUAUAUGCAAGGUUUUUGAGUCGCCGACUAAUCGCCAAGUUGUUGGAGCGAGGUUGGCUUGCGCAGGCGACUUGGCUUGAGGAGCGAGUCGCGCGACUGGUAGGCUAGUCGACGAUUAGUCGACGACUAGUCGGGUGACUAGGACCUCAUAGCAGGGCGGCUUGCUUCAGCAAGGCCAAGGGAGGGAAGACUGGGAAGGUGAGGAGGCCAGAGUUCGAGGGAGGGGAGGAGGAGACGAAGCUGGAGAGUGCGCCGCCUGUACGAGGAGAAGCACGGAAGAGACGAAGGAGAAAGGCACAUGGGAGCAGAUGCACGGUUCAGAUUAGAGCAUAUGGACGGUUGGGAUUUUUAUCUGGAAGCUAGGGUUACAUAAUGGGCCUAUUGGGCCAGCUCUCUAGCACGAAACAGAGGAGGAGCAAGACACGUGCUCCCAUCCCACAUCAGAAUCGCCGCCUCCAUUGCUCCUACGAGCUGCUGCUGCCUUCUCCGAGCUGAAUUAUACUCCAAGCAGCUGCCUUCCCCCUCCUCCGCCUGCAACAACACCUCUUCCCCCCUCCUCCUCCUCCUCUUCCCCCUCCUCCUCCUCCUCUUAACACCUGGGGCGACUUGGGGCGAUUAAUCACGACGAGUCGCAGACUAAUCGCAGCGAGCCACUAGUCGGAGGCAUGGCGACUCGACUUGGCUAGGCGACUCAAAAACCUUGACUAUAUGUACAAUACUUCUUUGUAUAUAGCUAUGACUGAAAAAUUAAAUGGUCAAUGAGAGGGCAAACAAAUCACAGGAUUUUCUUUUGCAUAUCAUGUCAGUUAGAAAUAAACAAAGAAUUAUAAUCAGAAGAAAUAAAGAAAGCGCAAAAAUUCUCAAGAGCAUAUGACUACAAAACAAUCUAAUCCACUUCCACUAAACUUUUUUUUGGUGCAUUUCCUCAUCAAAAAUUGGCUUUACUAAACGUUGGUGCCACCUAACUACCAUGUCCAUUGAAGGCCCAACUUCAACCAGCUCCAUUCUAGGAAUAUAUGGAUUUUGUAGUUCUCAACUCCUGCUUUAUAAGAUCAUAUAUGUGGUAAUCAUAAGCCCAUCCAAAAGAUUGUUGAGCCUCUUCUUUGAAUGAGAGGCAUACACUCCUACUGCAAACACCAUUAUAACAAAAGAAUAUGACAUCUUUCAGCAGUUAUAGCAGACAAUAAUAUUCGCUGGUUAAUAUACAAAGGAAAAUGAAACGAUCAUUGUAACAGGCACGCAGAAGGCUUCAGAUAGGACCUAUAUUGUGCUACUCAAAGUCAAUAUCUAGCUCAAAAAGUCAAUGCCGAGCUCAGAAAGUCAUUUCAUUUUUGAGAGCCUCACCGAUUUAAUCUUUAUUUUCUCAAGUGAAUAAUAAUUCCUCAUUGUCACUAAGAAUGCAAUAAGAUUUAGGGAGAACUCCAGGGACACCCCUUCUCUCAAAUGGCCUGAUGUUGUUGCUAUUCAUGGUGUAAUUCACAGAAUACUUCAAGGCAAAAAAGUUCUGUCAUCACGAAGUUCAAACUGUACAUUAUUGCCAUGCUCAACCUGGAACAAACAUUAGAGCACUGGUCUAAUGUGGGAGCCUGGGAAAAACACAUAUGUACUAUUUCUAGUUGCUCCACAUAUAUGGUUCGAAAGAAACAAUCUUUUCCAAUAUCAACUAAAUUAAGAUUUACAUGUGGUUAUUUGUACAAACCAUGGACUACUUUAAGAAGCAGCGCAGACAAAAAUUGCAGUUCAGUCUCUAUUAGAAAGGCAAGGUAAGCGUGCAGACCUCAUGCCGAGACGAGCUGAUGUUGUUGGCAGCGAGGAAGGCUCGGCGUCCUCUGACUAUGGAUGCACGCCGACCAGAAUCAUGUAGCCACGGCUCCGACCAGAAUCACCGUGUCUGUCCCGGAUUAGAGAGAGGGAACAACAAAUUACAAGCAUGGUUUUGGUACGGAUUCACAGAAGACCCUAAUCAAACAUCACGACAGCAUACUAUUUGGAAUUCAGAAAUCCAUUCAAGUCAUGCACCCCAAAGGAUGAUCCAUCAGUAUAUAGGAUAAAUCACCCAAGAAUGAUUACCAACUCAAGCAUCAUGUUCUAGAAAAAAUAUUCAGGCACACCAUGGUUUCCAAUUCAGAAGAUGAAGCACAGCAAACAGGCUAUUAAGCCCAAUUCUAAAAAUCAAACAUACCUCUAUUGAAUCUCAGGCUAGCGUAAUCCAUAGCUUUGCCUGGCAAGCCCGCCGGCCGGUCGCCGGAGCUGCCACCGCUAGCGACCGCCUCCCUGACUCUGCGCCCCCUGCUCCUUCUCCUUUAUUCCUUUCUCCCUCAUGCCCUGUCUCUCUUUCUAUGGAUGAGCAGGACGCCGUCGCCACCGGAGCAAGCCACCGCACCAGCAGCCAGAUCGGUCGCUGCCGCCCCCGGAUCCGCCCGUAUUACUCGCGCCGGCGCCGUGGCCUCGCUUCACCCACCGGCCGCCUGCCCGUUCCGACGAACUCCAGCGCCGCCAACCUUUUCCCCUGCGUCGAGGAGUUGCUCGAACCGCUGCCGUCCGUUGCGUGGCCCGGCAGCCCAGCCAGAUCGGCAGCUCGCCCGCGUGGGCUGCGCGGAUGGACGGACAGGAAGACCAUCCGCAGGUGGCGGCGGUGGCGUCCGUACCCCGGCUCUCCUUCGAUGCAUACGUGCCCGUGUGUCAUGUGUUUUUUUCCAACCCUUGCG